UACAGAGGUCCCGAGCGUUGUUCGGAUUCACUGGGCGUAAAGGGUGCGUAGGUGGCAUAGAAAGUUUGAUGUGAAAGCUCAGGGCUUAACCCUGAAAUGGCAUUGAAUACUGCUGUGCUGGAGGUUUGGAGGGGGGACUGGAAUUCUUGGUGUAGCAGUGAAAUGCGUAGAGUAUCAAGAGGAACACCAGCGGCGAAGGCGAGUCCCUGGACAACACCUGACACUGAGGCACGAAAGCUAGGGGAGCAAACAGG
RNAcentral lists this ribosomal RNA (254 nucleotides) under uncultured bacterium. RNAcentral's name for it is "partial 16S ribosomal RNA". It matches the Rfam family "Bacterial small subunit ribosomal RNA", at positions 524 to 776 of the family's 1533-position model. The record is from RNAcentral.